AACGAACGCUGGCGGCAUGCCUAACACAUGCAAGUCGAACGAGACCUUCGGGUCUUGUGGCGCACGGGUGCGUAACGCGUGGGAACCUGCCCUUAGGUUCGGAAUAACUCCCCGAAAGGGGUGCUAAUACCGGAUAAUGUCUUCGGCCCAAAGAUUUCUCGCCUCUGGAUGGGCGCGCGUUGGAUUAGCUAGUUGGUAGGGUAAAAGCCUACCAAGGCGACGAUCCAUAGCUGGUCUGAGAGGAUGAUCAGCCACACUGGGACUGAGACACGGCCCAGACACCUACGGGAGGCGGCAGUAAGGAAGAUUGAACAAUGGGCGAAAGCCGGAGCCAGCAAUGCCGCGGGAGUGAUGAAGGCGUGAGGGUUGUAAAGCUCUUUUACCCGGGAUGGUAAUGACAGGACCGGGGGAAUAAGCUCCGGCUAACUCCGUG
Molecule: ribosomal RNA, 433 nt
Filed under: uncultured bacterium
Lineage: Bacteria
Description: partial 16S ribosomal RNA
Rfam family: Bacterial small subunit ribosomal RNA
Source: RNAcentral